Molecule: transfer RNA, 88 nt
Filed under: Alphaproteobacteria bacterium
Lineage: Bacteria; Pseudomonadati; Pseudomonadota; Alphaproteobacteria
Also listed under: 2 other names
Description: tRNA-Leu
Rfam family: tRNA
About the family: Transfer RNA (tRNA) molecules are approximately 80 nucleotides in length.
Source: RNAcentral
GCCCAGGUGGCGGAAUUUGGUAGACGCGCAGGUUUCAGGUACCUGUGGCCGCAAGGCCGUGGAAGUUCGAGUCUUCUCCUGGGCACCA